GACGAACGCUGGCGGCGUGCCUAAUACAUGCAAGUUGAGCGAUGAAGAUUGGUGCUUGCACCAAUUUGCAGAGCAGCGAACGGGUGAGUAACGCGUGGGGAAUCUGCCUUUGAGCGGGGGACAACAUUUGGAAACGAAUGCUAAUACCGCAUAAUAACUUUAAACAUAAGUUUUAAGUUUGAAAGAUGCAAUUGCAUCACUCAAAGAUGAUCCCGCGUUGUAUUAGCUAGUUGGUGAGGUAAAGGCUCACCAAGGCGAUGAUACAUAGCCGACCUGAGAGGGUGAUCGGCCACAUUGGGACUGAGACACGGCCCAAACUCCUACGGGAGGCAGCAGUAGGGAAUCUUCGGCAAAGGACGAAAGUCUGACCGAGCAACGCCGCGUGAGUGAAGAAGGUUUUCGGAUCGUAAAACUCUGUUGGUAGAGAAGAACGUUGGUGAGAGUGGAAAGCUCAUCAAGUGACGGUAACUACCCAGAAAGGGACGGCUAACUACGU
RNAcentral lists this ribosomal RNA (496 nucleotides) under uncultured bacterium. RNAcentral describes it as "partial 16S ribosomal RNA". It matches the Rfam family "Bacterial small subunit ribosomal RNA", at positions 28 to 506 of the family's 1533-position model. The record is from RNAcentral.